This 305-nucleotide ribosomal RNA is filed under the name uncultured bacterium. RNAcentral's name for it is "bacterial SSU rRNA". It matches the Rfam family "Bacterial small subunit ribosomal RNA", at positions 336 to 658 of the family's 1533-position model. The record is from RNAcentral.
UUCCUACGGGGCGCAGCAGUGGGGAAUAUUGCACAAUGGGGGAAACCCUGAUGCAGCGACGCCGCGUGAGUGAAGAAGUAUUUCGGUACGUAAAGCCCUAUCGGCAGGGCAGAAGCUGACAGUACCUGACUAAGAAGCCCCGGCUAACUACGUGCCAGCAGCCGCGGUAAUACGUAGGGGGCAAGCGUUAUCCGGCUUCACUGGGCGUAAAGGGAGCGCAGGCGGCACGGCAAGCCUGGUGUGAAAACCCGGGGCCCACCCCCGGGAGUGCAUUGGGCACUGCCGCGCUAGAGUGCCGGAGGGGG